Molecule: long non-coding RNA, 1769 nt
Organism: Spodoptera frugiperda (fall armyworm)
Lineage: Eukaryota; Metazoa; Arthropoda; Insecta; Lepidoptera; Noctuidae
Exons: 3
Source: RefSeq, a predicted model, not a curated record
AGGAUCUGCACGAAUAAAAACACAUCCCAAGCUAUAUUAAGUGGCAAGCAAGUGUUGAAAAGAAAUAUUAAGAUUUCCAGUCCCGUUGAAAAGAAAUAUUAAGAUUUCCAGUCCUGUUGAAAAGAAAUAUUAAGAUUUCCAGUCCUGUUGAAAAGAAAUAUUAAGAUUUCCAGUCCUGUUGAGAUAAUAAAUGAUCUAUUGCAAUAAUAAUUAGUCAUAUACAAAGCAACAUAAGGUCUAGGUCGCAAGCAAGGCUAGACAUAACACACAAGGUCAAAUUAUUCAGCAAGGCAUAAUACACAAGGUCAAGUUAUUCAACAAGACAACACACAAGGUCAAGUUAUUCAACAAGGCAUAAUACACAAAGUCAAAUUAUUUAGCAAGGCAUAAUACACAAGGUCAAGUUAUUCAACAAGGCAAAAUACACAAGGUCAAGUUAUUCAACAAGGCAUAACACACAAAGUCAAGUUAUUUAACAAGACAUAAUACACAAGGUCAAGUUAUUCAACAAGUAACACACAAUGUCAAGUUAUUCAACAAGACAUAACACACAAAGUCAAGUUAUUUAACAAGACAUAAUACACAAGGUCGAGAUAUACGACAAGACAUAACACAUAAGGGCUAGUUAUCCAACUAGACAUAUCACACAAGGGCUAGUUAUCCAACUAGACAUAACACACAAGGGCUAGUUAUCCAACUAGACAUAUCACACAAGGGCUAGUUAUCCAACUAGACAUAACACACAAGGGCUAGUUAUCCAACUAGACAUAUCACACAAGGGCUAGUUAUCCAACUAGACAUAUCACACAAGGGCUAGUUAUCCAACUAGACAUAACACACAAGGGCUAGUUAUCCAACUAGACAUAACACACAAGGGCUAGUUAUCCAACUAGACAUAUCACACAAGGGCUAGUUAUCCAACUAGACAUAUCACACAAGGGCUAGUUAUCCAACUAGACAUAACACACAAGGGCUAGUUAUCCAACUAGACAUCUGACCUAUUUUUAUGAUAUCUUUGAUUGCUUAUGAGCCUUUUUUUUCUUUAUUAUUGAUUUAAUUUAUUUUAAUUGUAUAAUUCUUUAUUAUUUAAUUUGAAUUUUUAAUUUGAUUAUUUGUAAUGUUGAUUUUUUAUUAUUAUUUUAAUUUGAUUAUUAUAAUAACUAUUGAUUGUAAUGUUAUAUAGUUAUGCAUGUAAUUUGUAGUAAUUAUGAUUUUAUUUUUUAAUUUCCUCGAUACUGUAUCAAAACUGGGGAGGAGCAAGACAACCCCAACACAAGGUCUAGACUUCAAGCAAGGUUAAACAAGGCACACAAAGUAUAGUUAUCCAACUAGACAUAAUACACAAGGUCUAGACUUCAAGUAAGGUUAAACAUGGCACACAAAGUCUAGUUAUCCAACUAGACAUAAUACACAAGGUCUAGACUUCAAGUAAGGUUAAACAUGGCACACAAAGUCUAGUUAUCCAACUAGACAUAAUACACAAGGUCUAGACUUCAAGUAAGGUUAAACAUGGCACACAAAGUCUAGUUAUCCAACUAGACAUAAUACACAAGGUCUAGACUUCAAGUAAGGUUAAACAUGGCACACAAAGUCUAGUUAUCCAUAACUACUAUAUACCCUAUAACAACUAGACAUAACAUAUAAAGUCUAGUAAUUCAACAAAACUAGACACAUCACAAGGUCUAGGUUUUAAGCAAGACUAGACAUAACACAAGGCCUAGUUAUUCAACAAAACUAGUUAUGGUUAGCCAUUCAGCAAGUACUCACAU